UACAGAGGUCUCAAGCGUUGUUCGGAUUCAUUGGGCGUAAAGGGUGCGUAGGUGGCGGGGCAAGUCUGGUGUGAAAUCCCGGGGCUCAACCCCGGAACUGCACUGGAUACUGCCUUGCUAGAGCACUGGAGAGGGAACUGGAAUUUACGGUGUAGCAGUGAAAUGCGUAGAUAUCGUAAGGAAGACCAGUGGCGAAGGCGAGUUCCUGGGACAGUUGCUGACACUGAGGCACGAAGGCUAGGGGAGCGAACGGGG
This 255-nucleotide ribosomal RNA is filed under the name uncultured bacterium. RNAcentral describes it as "partial 16S ribosomal RNA". It matches the Rfam family "Bacterial small subunit ribosomal RNA", at positions 524 to 777 of the family's 1533-position model. The record is from RNAcentral.